This 253-nucleotide ribosomal RNA is filed under the name uncultured bacterium. RNAcentral describes it as "partial 16S ribosomal RNA". It matches the Rfam family "Bacterial small subunit ribosomal RNA", at positions 524 to 776 of the family's 1533-position model. The record is from RNAcentral.
UACGAAGGGAGCUAGCGUUGUUCGGAAUCACUGGGCGUAAAGCGCACGUAGGCGGAUUUGUCAGUCGGGGGUGAAAUCCCGAGGCUCAACCUCGGAACUGCCUCCGAUACAGCAAAUCUCGAGUCCGGGAGAGGUGGGUGGAAUUCCUAGUGUAGAGGUGAAAUUCGUAGAUAUUAGGAAGAACACCAGUGGCGAAGGCGGCCCACUGGCCCGGUACUGACGAUGAGGUGCGAAAGCGUGGGGAGCAAACAGG